Molecule: ribosomal RNA, 277 nt
Filed under: uncultured bacterium
Lineage: Bacteria
Description: partial 16S ribosomal RNA
Rfam family: Bacterial small subunit ribosomal RNA
Source: RNAcentral
UGAUUUCUUCGGAAUGAAUAAUGAUAUGACUGAGUGGCGGACGGGUGAGUAACGCGUGAGCAACCUGCCCUUCGGAGGGGGAUAACGGCUGGAAACGGCCGCUAAUACCGCAUAAGCGCACGGAGCCGCAUGGCCCUGUGUGAAAAGUUUUAAUGCUAUGGGAUGGGCCCGCGUCAGAUUAGUUAGUUGGCGGUGUAACGGACCACCAAGACGACGAUCUGUAGCCGGACUGAGAGGUUGGACGGCCACAUUGGGACUGAGACACGGCCCAAACUCC